Long non-coding RNA from Amphiprion ocellaris (clown anemonefish), 2617 nucleotides. RefSeq lists it as uncharacterized. Lineage: Eukaryota; Metazoa; Chordata; Actinopteri; Pomacentridae. The transcript has 3 exons. The record is from RefSeq and is a predicted model, not a curated record.
GAGGCUAAGCUAGUGGGAGCAAAGUUUCAGUGCAUUCCGUUGAUGUAGACGGCGUGAAAACGGAAACAAGUAUGCUGGCUCACUGUGCUGCAUACAGUUACACACUACGUCGUACGAUUGAGACAAGGAAACUUGGAAUGACUUUUCAUAGGUUUCCCAGAGACUAUGGGUUGAGGAGGAAUUGGAAGUUUGUCGGCUUAGACCUGGUGUCAUUCCAUCAGUGUUAAACUUCCUGGCUCAUCUUGGAAGAGUAUGUGCCAGAAAGACCACGACCAAGCAGCCUUGAGAUCUUAGGCAGCGUCUCCCUCAGACCAAAGAACUACAGACUCUUCACAACCUGCUCAAACUCUUGGUACAGGACCUCACCACACGGGUCAAGAAGGUUUCCAUCUCAUUUCUACUCUGAAGCUCACCUUCUCCUGCUCAAACUGCUGACAAAUGUUUCUGCUGCUCUAAAGUCUGGUCUCCAGAACUUCCUAAAAACUCUCAAAGGCUCUUCUGCUGCAGGUUGCUUUGUAGAACUGUUCCAGAAAACCUCACUAAACCACAUGGAGGGGCCUCAAGAUAGUCGUCCAAAUGAAACCGUACAAAAACCAAACGAGCACAACCCAAAAGCUAAAGUCUCCUGCAGCCUACCAGAGAACCUCUGAGAACAGAGAAUCAGGACAGGAACUCUUACCUUCUGGACAACCAACCUUGGUUCACAAACAAGAAUACAGAAUGUGUCUGACCAAAAACCUCUAAAGACUCACUACAGCCAAGAUACAGACACAACUGUACCAAAUCCACUAAUCACUGCACACAUUAGUACCAUGUGCUAACUGUGGCUAAAGAACCACCUUUACCAAGACAACUAUCCAGUACAAAGCCCUAAAACACACCAAGAAACACAUUAAAGACGAUUUUACUGCUGGAAGCUGCAAGCCAACGCCUGAAGUUGUAAAGCACUUUGUGUUGCAUUUUUAACUGUAUGAAAAGUGCUAUAUAAAUAAAGUUUGAUUUGAUUUGAUUUGAUUUGAUUUGAUAAAGAACAAACUACAGCAACAGAGCCAAACCCGGUUCACUGGUGAAGAGAAUCAGAGGAAAUGUUUGUCUGCAGCUAAAUAAAGCAGGAAGACGCUGAGCUGCUCAGGUGUUCCUGAUAACACCAAGCUGCUCAGGUGUUCCUAAUAACACCAAGCAGCCACCUGGACAGCCAAUAGGAACACAGCUUACUGGAAGUCCAGAGGGCUGGGUUAGUGAAGGAAAUUUAGUUUAAAGUUGAGGCAGAAAGUUAACAAAGAAAGUUGAAAACCACCUUCUGAUACCUGAAAUCUCUGAGUUUUCACACAAAGAAUGCCUGAACAUGUCAAACUGGUUCCAUAGUAGAACCAUCAUUGUAAAAACGUCAUAGUAUGGUGUGUUGCUCAAAAAACAUUAGGACCCAGCUGUCAGGGAACAAACAUGUAAGAAACAUGAGAACAGAGAGAACCCAACCAGUAGGUCACAGUUUAUCAUCCCCCAGUCAUCUCCUGAAGUCCAUAUGGUGAGAGACAUCAGUAUCUGGUUGUUAAUUUACCAGAGGAUGCUUAUAAUCAUGCUGAUGUGGUCUGUACUCUACAGUAUUUUAGUGACUCAAUAAAUGCCUAAGUUGUUUUUUUUAAAAAUGCUUUUUAGUUUUUAAUAAACAUUUAACAGCCUAUAUGUAAUCAAUAAAUGGCCUUUGCCUAUCUUAAGAAAAACUCACUCAGAACUCUGAUAUGUUAACAGUACUAAAUAAAUCAAUAAAUACAUGCAUACACACAUAAAUAAGUUAAUACAUUAACUGUGUUAAGAUAAGAUUUAGAUUUUAAAAAAAGUUGUUUAUGUUUUUGCAGAAUCCAGUAUUGCUCACUGGUUGGUCAUUACAUUUUGUUAGUUUGAUUUCACUGUUUAAAAUGAUGCCACCUCUUUUCAGACAGAACCUGUGAUAAUAAAACAAUACAAAAUUUUUAGUUCCGUGUUAAUAAAGCACUUAAAGCUUUAAGUAUGGCUAAAUGCUUUUUUCAAAAUUAAAUAUAUCACUCCUUAGGUGGUAGUGGCCCCAAGUUCAGUAAAGUUGGAAAGAUAUUCACAGAUUCGGGCUUCCAGCAUCAAUAACUCAUUAGAUAUAGGUUGUCAAAACAUAAACGGUGCCUCUUUCCCAUUGUUGCAAGGCAGACAAUGUGCUACAAGCCCAGUUUUAUCAAAAGUAGCUGUCUUUCAAGCUACAGGAAUAACAUUGGUGUCUAUGGAGUGAACAGGGUCCGUCUGCAAUUUGCAAAACCACUGCAACAGUAAAGAGAGACAAAUAUUCAAUAACUUCACUCUUAUACAUUGUAGUGUCACUAAAAUCACUGCAGCCUUCAACUGGCUCCUGUUGACAAAGUGUUUUAACAGAAAUGUAAAUGCUGUAAUUUGAUUCUUUUAAUGAACCAUGUAACUUGAAUGGAUGUGAUGCUGGUGUGACCACAGUGCACACGUCUGAUGUUGCUCACAGUGGUCCAAGGGACGCUCAGGGAGUUUGUGUGUUUGCUCAGACUCAUGAAAAAUUACAGGGAACAUUGUUUGGGACUCAAGCAGUUCCUUCUUUUACUCACUAUCUCCCCAGCCUUAGAAA